UGGGGAAUUUUGGACAAUGGGGGCAACCCUGAUCCAGCCAUGCCGCGUGUGUGAAGAAGGCCUUCGGGUUGUAAAGCACUUUCGGCCGGAACGAAAUCGCGCGRUCUAAUAANUCGCGUGGAUGACGGUACCGKAAGAAGAAGCACCGGCUAACUACGUGCCAGCAGCCGCGGUAAUACGUAGGGUGCGAGCGUUAAUCGGAAUUACUGGGCGUAAAGUGUGCGCAGGYGGCCGMGCAAGUCGAGUGUGAAAUCCCCGRGCUUAACUUGGGAAUUGCGCUCGAAACUACKUGGCUSGAGUGUGGCAGAGGAAGGUGGAAUUCCACGUGUAGCGGUGAAAUGCGUAGAGAUGUGGAGGAACACCGAUGGCGAAGGCAGCCUUCUGGGCCAACACUGACGCUCAUGCACGAAAGCGUGGGGAGCAAACAGGAUUAGAUACCCUGGUAGUCCACGCCCUAAACGAUGAUGACUAGUUGUUGGGGGAGUUAAAUCCCUUAGUAACGCAGCUAACGCGUGAAGUCAUCCGCCUGGGGAGUACGGUCGCAAGAUUA
This 550-nucleotide ribosomal RNA is filed under the name uncultured bacterium. RNAcentral's name for it is "bacterial SSU rRNA". It matches the Rfam family "Bacterial small subunit ribosomal RNA", at positions 355 to 896 of the family's 1533-position model. The record is from RNAcentral.